GAUCAAGCGACAAAGUGCAUGUGGUGGAUGCCUUGGCGAUUACAGGCGAAGAAGGACGUGGCAGCCUGCGAAAAGCUCCGGGGAGCUGGCAAAUAAGCAUUGAUCCGGAGAUGUCCGAAUGGGGAAACCCACCCGCAAGGGUAUCACCCUCUGAAUACAUAGGGGGGUAGAAGCUAACCUGCUGAACUGAAACAUCUAAGUAGGCAGAGGAACAGAAAUCAACCGAGAUUCCGAAAGUAGUGGCGAGCGAAACCGGACGAGCCUGCUGUCUUUAGCCAGUGUUUUAGCAGAACGGUCUGGAAAGGCCGGCCAUAGAGGGUGAUAGCCCCGUAUGCGAAAAGACGCUGGUGGAACUAGGGCAGCGAAAAGUAGGGCGGGACACGUGGAAUCCUGUCUGAAGAUGGGGGACCAUCCUCCAAGGCUAAAUACUCGUGAUCGACCGAUAGUGAACCAGUACCGUGAGGGAAAGGCGAAAAGAACCCCGGGAGGGGAGUGAAAUAGAUCCUGAAACCGCAUGCAUACAAACAGUCGGAGUCCUGAAAGGGAUGACGGCGUACCUUUUGUAUAAUGGGUCAGCGACUUACGUUCAGUGGCGAGCUUAACCGAAUAGGGUAGGCGAAGCGAAAGCGAGUCUGAAUAGGGCGACAUAGUCUCUGGGCGUAGACCCGAAACCGGAUGAUCUACCCAUGGCCAGGAUGAAGCGGGGGUAACACCUCGUGGAGGUCCGAACCCACUAGUGUUGAAAAACUAGGGGAUGAGCUGUGGGUAGGGGUGAAAGGCUAAACAAAUCCGGAAAUAGCUGGUUCUCUCCGAAAGCUAUUUAGGUAGCGCCUCGUGUAUCACUCCUGGGGGUAGAGCACUGUCAUGGCUAGGGGCCGUUCUAGGCUUACCAAACCAUGGCAAACUCCGAAUACCGGGAAGUGCAAGCACGGGAGACAGACAUCGGGUGCUAACGUCCGGUGUCAAGAGGGAAACAACCCAGACCGCCAGCUAAGGUCCCCAAUGACAAGCUAAGUGGAAAACGAGGUGGGAAGGCUUAGACAGCCAGGAGGUUGGCUUAGAAGCAGCCAUCCUUUAAAGAAAGCGUAAUAGCUCACUGGUCGAGUCGUCCUGCGCGGAAGAUGUAACGGGGCUCAAGCGUGUAACCGAAGCUGCGGGUGCACAGAAAUGUGCGCGGUAGGAGAGCGUUCCGUAGGCCUGUGAAGGUGUUCCGUGAGGGAUGCUGGAGGUAUCGGAAGUGAGAAUGCUGACACGAGUAGCGAUAAACAGCGUGAAAAGCGCCUGUCGCCGAAAGCCCAAGGUUUCCUGCGCAACGUUCAUCGGCGCAGGGUGAGUCGGCCCCUAAGGUGAGGGCGAAAGCCGUAGCUGAUGGGAAACAGGUCAAUAUUCCUGUACCAACGUGCAAUGCGAUGGGGGGACGAAGAAGGUUAGGUCAGCCGGGUGUUGGAUGUCCCGGUUUAAGCCUGUAGGCAUGCUGCGUAGGCAAAUCCGCGUGGCUAAGCCGAGAGGUGAUGACGAGGUCUCAUUGAGACUGAAGUGACUGAUACCCCGCUUCCAGGAAAAGCCUCUAAGCUUCAGUUGUACGUUGACCGUACCGCAAACCGACACAGGUGGGCAGGGUGAGAAUCCUAAGGCGCUUGAGAGAACUCGGGUGAAGGAACUCGGCAAAUUGGCACCGUAACUUCGGGAGAAGGUGCGCCCCGGUAGGUUGUAGUCCCUUGCGGACGAAGGCCGAUGGGGUUGCAGUGAACUGGUGGCUGCGACUGUUUAAUAAAAACACAGCACUCUGCAAAGAUGAUGAAUCGACGUAUAGGGUGUGACGCCUGCCCGGUGCCGGAAGGUUAAGUGAUGGGGUGCAAGCUCUUGAUCGAAGCCCCGGUAAACGGCGGCCGUAACUAUAACGGUCCUAAGGUAGCGAAAUUCCUUGUCGGGUAAGUUCCGACCUGCACGAAUGGCGUAACGAUGGCCACACUGUCUCCACCCGAGACUCAGCGAAGUUGAAAUGUUUGUGAUGAUGCAAUCUACCCGCGGCUAGACGGAAAGACCCCGUGCACCUUUACUGUAGCUUUGCAUUGGACUGUGAUGGGAUCUGUGUAGGAUAGGUGGGAGGCGUUGAAGGGCGGUUGCUAGAUCGCCUGGAGCCGACGUUGAAAUACCACCCUGAUGUCAUUGCGGUUCUAACCUUGGGCCCCUGAAUCGGGCUUGGGGACAGUGCAUGGUAGGCAGUUUGACUGGGGCGGUCUCCUCCCAAAGUGUAACGGAGGAGUGCGAAGGUACGCUUGGCGCGGUCGGACAUCGCGCUGAAAGUGCAAUGGCAAAAGCGUGCUUGACUGCGAGACUGACAAGUCGAGCAGCUACGAAAGUAGGUCAUAGUGAUCCGGUGGUUCUGAAUGGAAGGGCCAUCGCUCAACGGAUAAAAGGUACGCCGGGGAUAACAGGCUGAUUCCUCCCAAGAGUUCACAUCGACGGGGAGUUUGGCACCUCGAUGUCGGCUCAUCACAUCCUGGGGCUGUAGCCGGUCCCAAGGGUAUGGCUGUUCGCCAUUUAAAGUGGUACGUGAGCUGGGUUUAAAACGUCGUGAGACAGUUUGGUCCCUAUCUGCCGUGGGCGUUGGAAGUUUGAGGGGGGCUGCUCCUAGUACGAGAGGACCGGAGUGGACGAGCCUCUGGUGUACCGGUUAUGACGCCAGUCGUAUUGCCGGGUAGCUAAGCUCGGAAGAGAUAACCGCUGAAAGCAUCUAAGCGGAAACUUGCCUCAAGAUGAGACUUCCCGGAGCCUUGAGCUCCUUGAAGGGUCGUUGAAGACCACAACGUUGAUAGGCGCCGUGUGCAAGCGUGGUAACACGUUGAGCUAAGGCGUACUAAUUGCCCGUACGGCUUGAUCCU
This 2885-nucleotide ribosomal RNA is filed under the name Betaproteobacteria bacterium. RNAcentral describes it as "23S ribosomal RNA". It matches the Rfam family "Bacterial large subunit ribosomal RNA". Lineage: Bacteria; Pseudomonadati; Pseudomonadota; Betaproteobacteria. The record is from RNAcentral.